ACUCUUAAGUGUAGGAUCACGUGGCCACUAUGUCUGGGGACUACGAAGAUGACCUCUGUCGGCGGGCCCUCAUCCUGGUUUCAGACCUCUGUGCACGGAUCCGAGAUGCUGAUACCAAUGACAGGUGUCAAGAGUUCAACGAACUGCGAAUCAGAGGAUAUCCCCGGGGUCCGGAUGCAGACAUUUCCGUGAGCCUGCUGUCAGUCAUCGUGACGUUCUGUGGCAUCGUCCUCUUGGGUGUCUCUCUCUUCGUGUCCUGGAAGUUGUGCUGGGUGCCCUGGAGGGACAAAGGGGGCUCAGCAGUGGGUGGUGGCCCCCUGCGCAAAGACUUAGCCCCUGGGGUUGGGCUGGCAGGCCUGGUAGGAGGUGGUGGGCACCAU
RNAcentral lists this long non-coding RNA (380 nucleotides) under Rattus norvegicus (Norway rat). RNAcentral describes it as "long non-coding RNA NONRATT000656". Lineage: Eukaryota; Metazoa; Chordata; Mammalia; Rodentia; Muridae. The record is from RNAcentral.